RNAcentral lists this ribosomal RNA (465 nucleotides) under uncultured bacterium. RNAcentral's name for it is "partial 16S ribosomal RNA". It matches the Rfam family "Bacterial small subunit ribosomal RNA", at positions 339 to 795 of the family's 1533-position model. The record is from RNAcentral.
CUACGGGCCGCAGCAGUGGGGAAUAUUGCACAAUGGGCGCAAGCCUGAUGCAGCCACGCCGCGUGUAUGAAGAAGGCCUUCGGGUUGUAAAGUACUUUCAGCGGGGAGGAAGGGAGUAAAGUUAAUACCUUUGCUCAUUGACGUUACCCGCAGAAGAAGCACCGGCUAACUCCGUGCCAGCAGGCCGCGGUAAUACGGAGGGUGCAAGCGUUAAUCGGAAUUACUGGGCGUAAAGCGCACGCAGGCGGUUUGUUAAGUCAGAUGUGAAAUCCCCGGGCUCAACCUGGGAACUGCAUCUGAUACUGGCAAGCUUGAGUCUCGUAGAGGGGGGUAGAAUUCCAGGUGUAGCGGUGACAUGCGUAGAGAUCUGGAGGAAUACCGGUGGCGAAGGCGGCCCCCUGGACGAAGACUGACGCUCAGGUGCGAAAGCGUGGGGAGCAAACAGGAUUAGAUACCCGCGUAGUC